This 73-nucleotide transfer RNA is filed under the name Trichonephila clavata. It matches the Rfam family "tRNA". From Rfam's summary of the family: Transfer RNA (tRNA) molecules are approximately 80 nucleotides in length. Their secondary structure includes four short double-helical elements and three loops (D, anti-codon, and T loops). Further hydrogen bonds mediate the characteristic L-shaped molecular structure. tRNAs have two regions of fundamental functional importance: the anti-codon, which is responsible for specific mRNA codon recognition, and the 3' end, to which the tRNAs corresponding amino acid is attached (by aminoacyl-tRNA synthetases). tRNAs cope with the degeneracy of the genetic code in two manners: having more than one tRNA (with a specific anti-codon) for a particular amino acid; and 'wobble' base-pairing, i.e. permitting non-standard base-pairing at the 3rd anti-codon position. The record is from Rfam by way of RNAcentral. Lineage: Eukaryota; Metazoa; Arthropoda; Arachnida; Araneae; Nephilidae.
GUACCUGUAGCGCAAUGGAUAGCGUGUUGGACCUCUAAUCCAAAGGUUGUGGGUUCGACUCCCACCUGGGAUG